CACAACAUUCCAGGAAUGUACUAUCAAAGUUCUAUCAAUAUUUGAAUGUCCUGGACAUUUAGGGAACAUUCGGUGAACAUCUGAUUAAAUUAUUCCUGGAAUGUUACCAUAAGACAUUCUGUGAACAUACUACCAAUGUUCCUAUAUGUUCAUUUUCAAAUUCACGGCGCAUGUAUUUGUGCAUGGUGCUUAGAGAGGGCAUCACGUGACUAAAAACGACCAAUGACCUCACUUCGGACUUCGGCGCUUCAGCCAUCUUGGCUUGGCAUGCAUCUUGGCCUUGGCCACCUUGCCGUGCGUGAUCGUUGUUUGUUUUUAUUUGUGCUUUUUAAGAAUAUUUUUUUAAUUCGGAUACUUUUAUAAUAACUUUAAUAGUAUUAUUAACAUAGUGCAUACAAUCAGUUGGAGUAGCAGAAGCAAUGUAGAUAAAAAAUCUGCAGGAAUAACGUUUCAAAGCUUUCCAGAAGAUCCUGCGAAGAAGGCAUGAAGUAUUGAUCAGAUUUGUUAAUAGAGCAGUAUGUUCAAAACAUUUUUUAGAAAAAGAUAUUGACAGAACUUCACUUUCAACUGUUCGUUUGAGAGACUGUGCUGUUCCAAUAGCUUAUAUCACACAGAAUCAGCUGAGAGAAGUGGUCUACAAAAAACCAGGAAGGAAAUGGAAUAUGUGGCUAUGAAAGGCAAAAGAAAGGUUUACAAAGCAAAUGUGACACAUUUUUUUAUAGGAAUAUCAGUAAAUUACAUUAAAAAAAUGUAUGAAAAGAUUUUUUGCAAUAAAAAUGUUUAUAUUUA
Molecule: long non-coding RNA, 789 nt
Filed under: Diabrotica virgifera virgifera (western corn rootworm)
Lineage: Eukaryota; Metazoa; Arthropoda; Insecta; Coleoptera; Chrysomelidae
Description: uncharacterized LOC126887745
Source: RNAcentral